GGACUCCUACGGGAGGCAGCAGUGGGGAAUAUUGCACAAUGGGCGCAAGCCUGAUGCAGCCAUGCCGCGUGUAUGAAGAAGGCCUUCGGGUUGUAAAGUACUUUCAGCAGUGAGGAAGGUGGGUAUGUUAAUAGCAUACUCAUUUGACGUUAGCUGCAGAAGAAGCACCGGCUAACUCCGUGCCAGCAGCCGCGGUAAUACGGAGGGUGCGAGCGUUAAUCGGAAUUACUGGGCGUAAAGCGCAUGCAGGUGGUUUGUUAAGUCAGAUGUGAAAGCCCGGGGCUCAACCUCGGAAUUGCAUUUGAAACUGGCAAACUAGAGUACUGUAGAGGGGGUAGAAUUUCAGGUGUAGCGGUGAAAUGCGUAGAGAUCUGAAGGAAUACCGGUGGCGAAGGCGGCCCCCUGGACAGAUACUGACACUCAGAUGCGAAAGCGUGGGGAGCAAACAGGAUUAGAUACCCUGGUAG
RNAcentral lists this ribosomal RNA (467 nucleotides) under uncultured bacterium. Its description in RNAcentral is "bacterial SSU rRNA". It matches the Rfam family "Bacterial small subunit ribosomal RNA", at positions 333 to 793 of the family's 1533-position model. The record is from RNAcentral.